CCGUAUUUGCAAGCACCGGGGAUUGAUCAAUGAAGGCGUGAUAAAUGGACUGUUGGACCAUCUCGGCCAUCUUGUCCGAGUCCUCGGUGAUUGUGAUCUGGCGGGGAUUUGGAAACGGAGACUUUUUGAUAGUCUCCCCGCUUCUGGAGCGACUGAAAGAUUGCAGGCAAGCCUUUCGGAACUGUGCCGUAUGCUUCUCCAGUUCUUCCUUCUGAUCGUCCUUGAGAUCUGCUUCCGUCACUUCGAUGACGUUAUCU
RNAcentral lists this long non-coding RNA (257 nucleotides) under Setaria viridis. Its description in RNAcentral is "long non-coding RNA (SVIR_LNC003144)". Lineage: Eukaryota; Viridiplantae; Streptophyta; Magnoliopsida; Poales; Poaceae. The record is from RNAcentral.